UGUUUUAAUUGGUAUAUUCAUUCACAUAUUACAUAUAAAAAGUUUUUUUUUAACAGAAACAUAUCCUAUUCAUCUUUCCAUAAGGUACACUUUGGUUUGAGGGAGUUUACAAAGAGUGCUACUACUCCCUACUCCAGAUUUGAAGCGGCCCUCUAUCUAAAAGAUGAGGGGGACUUGAUUUGAAAUUCAAAGGUACCAUUUCCUAAUGGUUGUGGAUCAGGUGGCUUCUCUGGGACAACCUCAUAUGGAGUAACAUUUUUCCUACUUAGAUUAUUUAUUUUAGUAACUUCAUCGGUGUUCAUUUGAUCUGUUGAUUUAAGAGUUUUAUAAGCAAACAUAUUAUCCACCUUGGCAUCUAUACUAGUUUGAGUAUGUUGAUUGUAACAUUCUUUGGUUUCUUCUUUCUAAAAACCUUAUUCUUUCUUAGAGAUUCCUUUUAUGCUCUUUGCUCUUCUCUCAUAUGGUGGAUUUGUAGUUUCAGCCUGCUUAUUUUGUGCUCUCUUUCUUCUUAUUUGGUAUUUAUGAUCCACUCUCCUGUAUAAAUCUAAUGGGAGUAAUAACCUUUUUUUUUC
Molecule: non-coding RNA, 572 nt
Organism: Nicotiana tabacum (common tobacco)
Lineage: Eukaryota; Viridiplantae; Streptophyta; Magnoliopsida; Solanales; Solanaceae
Source: RefSeq, a predicted model, not a curated record